RNAcentral lists this ribosomal RNA (258 nucleotides) under uncultured bacterium. RNAcentral describes it as "partial 16S ribosomal RNA". It matches the Rfam family "Bacterial small subunit ribosomal RNA", at positions 16 to 263 of the family's 1533-position model. The record is from RNAcentral.
AAUCUGGCUCAGGAUGAACGCUAGCUACAGGCUUAACACAUGCAAGUCGAGGGGCAGCAUGGACCCAGCUUUGCUGGGUUUGAUGGCGACCGGCGCACGGGUGAGUAACGCGUAUCCAACCUGCCCUUUACUCCGGGAUAGUCUCCUGAAAGGGAGUUUAAUACCGGAUGUGUUUGUCUUUCCGCAUGGGAGCGACAAAUAAAGAUUAAUUGGUAAAGGAUGGGGAUGCGUCCCAUUAGCUUGUUGGCGGGGUAACGG